Molecule: ribosomal RNA, 463 nt
Filed under: uncultured bacterium
Lineage: Bacteria
Description: bacterial SSU rRNA
Rfam family: Bacterial small subunit ribosomal RNA
Source: RNAcentral
CCAGACUCCUACGGGAGGCAGCAGUGAGGAAUAUUGGUCAAUGGCCGAGAGGCUGAACCAGCCAAGUCGCGUGAGGGAAGACGGCCCUACGGGUUGUAAACCUCUUUUGUCGGGGAGCAAAGAGAGUCACGUGUGACUCAUUGAGAGUACCCGAAGAAAAAGCAUCGGCUAACUCCGUGCCAGCAGCCGCGGUAAUACGGAGGAUGCGAGCGUUAUCCGGAUUUAUUGGGUUUAAAGGGUGCGUAGGCGGAAUAUCAAGUCAGCGGUAAAAAUUCGGGGCUCAACCCCGUCGUGCCGUUGAAACUGGCGGGCUGGAGUUGGAGAGAAGUACGCGGAAUGCGCGGUGUAGCGGUGAAAUGCUUAGAUAUCGCGCAGAGCCCCGAUUGCGAAGGCAGCAUACCGGCGCCCAACUGACGCUGAAGCACGAAAGCGUGGGUAUCGAACAGGAUUAGAUACCCUUGUA